AGAAACGGCGUAAAAAACGCCGUUUAAUUAUUCAAAAUGCCGAAAAAAACGGCGUUCUGUUUCGACAAACGCCGUUUUUUCCGACUCUCACAUGGCGCCCUGAACGCACCAUCCGAGUGACGUAAAAAGCGGCGUUCAAAGACAGACGGAAACGCCGUUUUUUCCGCCACUCGGCAGAAAACGCCGUUCAAAGAUGCAUAAAAACGGCGUUUUUUACAGCGUUCUGUGCCAGCUGUAACGGCGUUUAAAACGGCGUUUUAUUGAAAUUAUGCAGGGCACUCCCCAUGGUUCCCUCAUCCAAUUACUUUCAACUCAUUUCACCCAAUCAAAGAAGAGGAAGUGCAGACCACACUAAUGCAUCACCGAUUCACUUUGCUGCUAAGUGAUUGCCUAUUCAGUACCAGUGCUUGUUACAGUAUUGACUUGUAUUAUAAUCCUACUAUGCAUUUUGAUGUGUUUAAGGCAUGAUCAAGCAAACAAACGACAGAAUACUUUUUCUGAAACCUUAACUGUGGUACCUGUUAUGGCAGCUAACAGACACUCGGCGCAUGGCUCCUUUGUUUAUGUUAGGGAUCAGCUGUUAGCGCUGCGCCCUGCAUCUGCGCUACCGGCAGACAGACCCUACGUCCCCAGUGAGGGAAGAGACGGGGGUGAUGUCUACCGAGAAGGACACCUUACACACCAUCUCUCCUUCCUGUAAUCACUGUAAACGUGAGAUCGCUCCCUAAUAUGAUUGAGGAGCUAAUGACGCUAACUCGGUCACAGUGGCAGUACCCCGACGCUGCCCGGUACUCCCUCUGUGAGUAGGCUGCCCGGCUUCCAGCUGCUGCGGCCGGACAAGACGAGAGACAGCGGUGAGAGGAAAGGAGGGGGACUGGGCAGUGUUUGUUAAAGACAGUUGUGGGACCUCUGGGCACAUUGCUGUGAAAGAACAACUCUGCAACAGAGACAUUGAGCUAUUAGCCGUUAGCAUCCGUGGAGGCAGCCUGUGACUCUCUGUGGUCUGCAGACUGCAGACGCAAUCUCCGAGAGCUCUUCUUCUAAUAUCAGGGGACUUUAAUCAUGUCUCGCUGGACUCCACACUGCCCACCUUCACCCAGUAUGUGACCUGCCCCACCGUAGGCAAUAAAACAUUGUACUUAAUGUAUGCCAAUGAAAAAGUGUCAUACAGUUCAUCACCUCUCCCUGCCCAGGGAAGAUCUGAUCGUAAUUAGUGCGCCUUGUCCCUGUGUGCAGCACUUAGUGUGCACGGAGCCACCAAUCACCCACGCAGUGCAGAGAUGGUCCGCGGAAGGCAUAUGAAUAAAUAAUAAAAGCAAAUAAAUGACAGAAUGCUUUUUUUUUUUGUUUUUUUUUUGUGUGAAACAAGUGGAGACAUUAACUUUGAUCAAAAUGCUUUUGUGUUCAGUUUAAAGUAAUACCACUGUAUAAUAGCCUUCAAUUGUAAUAUUAUUAACAGCAUCUCAGGAAUAUUUUGCCCCUUCAACAUGCAUUGAAAAAGAACCUGAUAUGCAGUUUUACACCACCGUCAUUGGCCUCAUUAAAGAUGGUGUUGAGUCUGUACACCGGCAGGAAGUUGAGAGGCUUGUACUCUGGUGUAGUCAGCACAAGCUGGAACUGAACACGCUUAAGACUGUGGAGAUAUCCCUCAACACUGCCUCCCCUCACCAUAUCUACACCAGUUCUACACUGCAGUCAUUGAGUUUCUCCUGUGCUCCUCCAUCACAGUCCGGUAUGAAGCAGCCACUAAGCAGGACAGGAGCAGGCUGCAGUGGACUGUACUGGCAGCAGAAAAGAUCAUUGGCACCCCCUGCCCUCCAUCCAGGACCUGCACCUCUCAAGAACCAGGAAACGGGAAGGGAAAAUCAUCACAGACCCCUCACACCCUGGACACAGACUUUUUUGACCUGCUGCCCUCUGGCAGACGGUACAGAAGCCUUCAAACCAGGACCACCUGACACAGGAACAUUUUCUUUCCCCUCGCCAUCUCCCUCCUAAGUGGUUGAACUGUCACACUGCUAGACUGCAACUGCAGUCUUUGGUAUUAACUUCUGUAAUCUCUGUAUAAAAGAAUUAGAUUGUGUAUUAUAUUGUUAGUUUAUACACCUGUGUGCAUAUGUGCAUGUGUAUUUAUGCAUGUCCAUACACAUAGAUGGAUUGUGUUUUACAUUUUUUUGCUUGAGAGACGCCCUCAAUCGGAACCUAAUUCCUUGUAUGUGUUUGUGCAUAUACUUUGCCAAUAAACGCGAUUCUGAUUAUGA
Molecule: long non-coding RNA, 2261 nt
Organism: Oreochromis niloticus (Nile tilapia)
Lineage: Eukaryota; Metazoa; Chordata; Actinopteri; Cichliformes; Cichlidae
Exons: 2
Source: RefSeq, a predicted model, not a curated record